UGCGGGAUCGUCUAAUGGUAGGACGCCGGAUUCUGGCUCCGGUAAUCUAGGUUCGAGUCCUAGUCCCGCAG
This 71-nucleotide transfer RNA is filed under the name Actinomycetes bacterium. Its description in RNAcentral is "tRNA-Gln". It matches the Rfam family "tRNA". From Rfam's summary of the family: Transfer RNA (tRNA) molecules are approximately 80 nucleotides in length. Their secondary structure includes four short double-helical elements and three loops (D, anti-codon, and T loops). The record is from RNAcentral. Lineage: Bacteria; Bacillati; Actinomycetota; Actinomycetes.